UACAUGCAAGUCGAACGGCUCUUCGGAGCAGUGGCGGACGGGUGAGUAACGCGUGGGAGCGUGCCCAAAGGUACGGAACAACUGAGGGAAACUUCAGCUAAUACCGUAUGUGCCCUUAGGGGGAAAGAUUUAUCGCCUUUGGAGCGGCCCGCGUUGGAUUAGCUAGUUGGUGGGGUAAAGGCCCACCAAGGCUACGAUCCAUAGCUGGUCUGAGAGGAUGAUCAGCCACACUGGGACUGAGACACGGCCCAGACUCCUACGGGAGGCAGCAGUAGGGAAUCUUGCGCAAUGGGCGAAAGCCUGACGCAGCCAUGCCGCGUGAAUGAUGAAGGUCUUAGGAUUGUAAAAUUCUUUCACCGGGGAAGAUAAUGACGGUACCCGGAGAAGAAGCCCCGGCUAACUUCGUGCCAGCAGCCGCGGUAAUACGAAGGGGGCUAGCGUUGCUCGGAAUUACUGGGCGUAAAGGGCGCGUAGGCGGACAGUUUAGUCAGAGGUGAAAG
Molecule: ribosomal RNA, 500 nt
Filed under: uncultured bacterium
Lineage: Bacteria
Description: bacterial SSU rRNA
Rfam family: Bacterial small subunit ribosomal RNA
Source: RNAcentral